RNAcentral lists this ribosomal RNA (703 nucleotides) under uncultured bacterium. RNAcentral's name for it is "bacterial SSU rRNA". It matches the Rfam family "Bacterial small subunit ribosomal RNA", at positions 60 to 754 of the family's 1533-position model. The record is from RNAcentral.
AGUCGACGGGAUCCAGAUCAAGCUUGCUUUGGUUUGGUGAGAGUGGCGCACGGGUGCGUAACGCGUGAGCAACCUACCCUUGUCAGGGGGAUAGCCCGGCGAAAGUCGGAUUAAUACCGCAUGACAUCAUUGAGAGGCAUCUUUCGAUGAUCAAAGAUUUAUCGGACAAGGAUGGGCUCGCGUGACAUUAGCUAGUUGGUAAGGUAACGGCUUACCAAGGCUACGAUGUCUAGGGGCUCUGAGAGGAGAAUCCCCCACACUGGUACUGAGACACGGACCAGACUCCUACGGGAGGCAGCAGUAAGGAAUAUUGGUCAAUGGACGGAAGUCUGAACCAGCCAUGCCGCGUGCAGGAAGACUGCCCUAUGGGUUGUAAACUGCUUUUAUACGGGAACAAACGUCGGUACGUGUACCGGUCUGAGUGUACCGUAAGAAUAAGGAUCGGCUAACUCCGUGCCAGCAGCCGCGGUAAUACGGAGGAUCCGAGCGUUAUCCGGAAUUAUUGGGUUUAAAGGGUGCGUAGGCGGCCAGAUAAGUCAGGGGUGAAAGACGGCAGCUCAACUGUCGCAGUGCCUUUGAUACUGAUGAGCUUGAAUGUGGUUGAAGAUGGCGGAAUGAGACAAGUAGCGGUGAAAUGCAUAGAUAUGUCUCAGAACUCCGAUUGCGAAGGCAGCUGUCUAAGUCAUUAUUGACGCUGAUGCAC